RNAcentral lists this ribosomal RNA (483 nucleotides) under uncultured bacterium. Its description in RNAcentral is "partial 16S ribosomal RNA". It matches the Rfam family "Bacterial small subunit ribosomal RNA", at positions 28 to 523 of the family's 1533-position model. The record is from RNAcentral.
GACGAACGCUGGCGGCGUGCUUAACACAUGCAAGUCGGACGAUGAAGCUGGAGCUUGCUCCGGUGGAUUAGUGGCGAACGGGUGAGUAACACGUGAGCAAUCUGCCCUUGACUCUGGGAUAACUGCGGGAAACUGUAGCUAAUACCGGAUACGAGACCUGAAGGCAUCUUCGGGUCUGGAAAGAAUUUCGGUCAAGGAUGAGCUCGCGGCCUAUCAGCUUGUUGGUGAGGUAAUGGCCCACCAAGGCGACGACGGGUAGCCGGCCUGAGAGGGUGACCGGCCACACUGGGACUGAGACACGGCCCAGACUCCUACGGGAGGCAGCAGUGGGGAAUAUUGCACAAUGGGCGAAAGCCUGAUGCAGCAACGCCGCGUGAGGGAUGAAGGCCUACGGGUUGUAAACCUCUUUUAGCAGGGAAGAAGCGAAAGUGACGGUACCUGCAGAAAAAGCACCGGCUAACUACGUGCCAGCCGCCGCGGUAA